UACGUAGGGAGCAAGCGUUAUCCGGAUUUACUGGGUGUAAAGGGCGUGUAGGCGGGAUUGUAAGUCAGAUGUGAAAACCAGGGGCUCAACCUCUGGCCUGCAUUUGAAACUGCAGUUCUUGAGUACUGGAGAGGCAGACGGAAUUCCUAGUGUAGCGGUGAAAUGCGUAGAUAUUAGGAGGAACACCAGUGGCGAAGGCGGUCUGCUGGACAGCAACUGACGCUGAGGCGCGAAAGCGUGGGGAGCAAACAGG
RNAcentral lists this ribosomal RNA (253 nucleotides) under Flintibacter butyricus. RNAcentral describes it as "partial 16S ribosomal RNA". It matches the Rfam family "Bacterial small subunit ribosomal RNA", at positions 524 to 776 of the family's 1533-position model. Lineage: Bacteria; Bacillati; Bacillota; Clostridia; Eubacteriales. The record is from RNAcentral.